This 54-nucleotide transfer RNA is filed under the name Tetranychus kanzawai. RNAcentral describes it as "tRNA-Asp". RNAcentral also lists the same sequence under 1 other name. The record is from RNAcentral. Lineage: Eukaryota; Metazoa; Arthropoda; Arachnida; Trombidiformes; Tetranychidae.
AAAGAUAAUAUGAAUUAAAUUGUCAAUUUAUUUUUUCUUUUUAGUUUAUCUUAA